This 253-nucleotide ribosomal RNA is filed under the name uncultured bacterium. Its description in RNAcentral is "partial 16S ribosomal RNA". It matches the Rfam family "Bacterial small subunit ribosomal RNA", at positions 524 to 776 of the family's 1533-position model. The record is from RNAcentral.
UACGUAGGGACCGAGCGUUGUCCGGAAUCAUUGGGCGUAAAGAGCGUGUAGGCUGCCAGAUAAGUCCGCUGUGAAAUCUCGAGGCUCAACUUCGAGCUGUCGGUGGAAACUGUCGGGCUAGAGUCCGGAAGAGGCGAGUGGAAUUCCCGGUGUAGCGGUGAAAUGCGCAGAUAUCAGGAGGAACACCGGUGGCGAAGGCGCCUAUCUGGCCCGAUACUGACGCUGAGGUGCGAAAGCUAGGGGAGCAAACGGG